CCCUCUCUCUUGCCAGCUUUUACCUCCUCCCUCUCUCUAUCUCACUGGCCACAAAAUCUUCUCCCUUUCUCUCUCAACCAAACAAAAUACUCCUCUCUCUGUCUCUCACUGGAACCCUUCUUCCUCUCUCUCUGUCUCUCAUUACUGGAGCCUUCCUAUCUCUCAUCAGUUGACUUGUGAAGCAUUCUCUCCACCCUUGUCGAAGGAUACUUUGAGACAAAAUUUUAUGUCUUUUAUGUAGAACAAAUAAAAUCUUAUAAAUUGCUUUGGCUUUUGAUGAUGUAAGCUGGAUACC
RNAcentral lists this long non-coding RNA (295 nucleotides) under Elaeis guineensis (African oil palm). Its description in RNAcentral is "long non-coding RNA (EGUI_LNC018053)". The record is from RNAcentral. Lineage: Eukaryota; Viridiplantae; Streptophyta; Magnoliopsida; Arecales; Arecaceae.